RNA transcript from Malurus melanocephalus (red-backed fairy wren), 3805 nucleotides. It is a transcript of the gene named platelet derived growth factor subunit A, with no coding region annotated. NCBI's taxonomy places the organism in Eukaryota, Metazoa, Chordata, Aves, Passeriformes, Maluridae. The transcript has 8 exons. The record is from RefSeq and is a predicted model, not a curated record.
GCCGGGGCCACGCUCCAGACCGGCCACCGCUCCGGAGCGAGCCCCGAGCCUCCCUCUGCCUGGAGUUGCAGUUCGUCUCCGAUCCCCUUGGGAUUUAAACCUUCUUGCAUAUAUAUAUUUUUUUUCUCCCCCUUCCUCCUCCUCCUCCUCCUCCUCCUGUCUUUUUCUCCCGUGCAAAGUGGAGCAGGAACUGCACCAAGGCAGCCCGCGAGAUCCUGCAAUACCGCUCCGAUUUAUCCCUGCUACUAUUCCUAAUUAAUUAUUAUUUUUGACCUCGCCCCAGCCGGGGAGGGGAGCCCGGGACCCGUUCUCGGCAGGAGAAACAUUUCGCUCCGUAUCAAUAAAGAUUUUUGAUUUUUCCCCUCUCCGAGGAGGGGCCGGGUGGAGGGCAGGCACGGCGGGGAGGGCCGGCCCUCGGCGGAGAGCGCAGCCCCGCGGUCCCGGCGCGGCGCGGAGCGGCGGCCGCGGCGGGGGGAGGCGGCCCCAGCGCCGCCCGCGCGAGGGGGGCAGCCGCCCCAGACAGGUGAUGGGCGUUUCGGCUGCGCUCCGGAUCGACUCCUUGGGUUUCACUUUGGUCUGAUCUAAGCAAAUAUGCAGAAGUACCGGCUGGUCUAGUCCUAAGAGCCAAGAGGAGCGAGCGAGAGCGGCAGAAGGGAGAGCAGCCACGCUCCCGUAGCGAGGGGAACGUACAAACAGCGGCCGCGCCGUCAUUAAACCACCGCCGCCCCGGGCAGCCCCGACCCACCCUGGAUGCGGAGGACCCCCGAGCCACCCCGCUGCCUUUCCCCUGAGGGAUGGUACUGAAUUCCUGCGCGGCAGGAGCCGGCCUGCAGCCCCUCUCCAUCAGCGUUGCCUUCCCUCCGUGUCUAAAGUGCACUAGACCGCGAUGAGGACCUGGGCUUGCGUUUUGCUGAUAGGUUUUGGCUACCUGUCCUUUACCUUCUCCGAGGAGGCCGAGAUCCCGCAGGAGCUCAUCGAGCGGCUGGCGCACAGCGAGAUCCACAGCAUCCGCGACUUGCAGCGCCUCCUGGAGAUUGACUCCGUAGGAUAUGACGAUGUUUCAGAAACAAACUUGAGAUCUUACAGUGUUCAUUCUGCCAAACAUGUGCAAGAGAACCGUCCUGUGCCCAUUCGCAGAAAAAGAAGCAUUGAGGAGGCCAUCCCGGCGGUGUGCAAGACGCGGACGGUGAUCUACGAGAUCCCCCGGAGCCAGAUCGACCCCACCUCGGCCAAUUUCCUGAUAUGGCCGCCCUGCGUGGAGGUGAAGCGCUGCACCGGCUGCUGCAACACCAGCAGUGUCAAGUGCCAGCCGUCCCGGGUACACCACAGGAGUGUCAAGGUGGCAAAAGUGGAAUAUGUUAGAAAAAAGCCAAAAUUAAAAGAAGUUCUGGUGAGAUUAGAAGAGCAUAUGGAAUGCACCUGUACAUCAUCAAAUACUAAUUCAGAUUAUAGAGAAGAAGAAACUGGAAGGCCUAGGGAAUCAGGUAAAAAACGGAAACGAAAAAAGUUAAAACCAACAUAAAACCCACUGGAACUAUUUGAUAUUCAGAUUAACAGGUAUUUAUUGGGAGUAGUAUGAUAGAAGCAAAGAUUUUCUAAAAUUCAACUUUAAAAUGAGCAUGUAAACUCAAUCAAAACAGCAUUUAGAACUUCUUGUCCCAGAUGUAAGGUGAAAAUAAGCUAGAAAAAAAACUUCUCUCUGGGACAUGGAUGUACAUGGUUUGUUACAUUCCUGAACCUACUAUGUAUGGUGCUUAUUGACUGUAUACUUUAUUUGUUCUCCUGUGUGAAAAAAAAACUGGCUCAAAAGAACACUUAAUGAGAACAAAGAGACAAUGUACAUUUGUUUAAUGUGACAUCAAAGCAAGUAUUGUAGCACUCUGUGAAACAAUAGGAAGCUUCCCUGUCCAAAAAARAAAAAAAAAACGAAAGAAAGAAAAACAGAAAAGAAAAAAAAAAAGACAGUUGAAUGAAUGGAGGAUACCAAAAGUACUCAAAAACAUGACAAAAAUCUAAGUGAAUAGUGGAUUUCUGUCAGAGCAGUCAACGGUGCUUUACGUCAAGAAAUGUGCCUGCGUUCUUGAUGAAGAUGGAUGGACACUGGUGGACUUCAGGCACAAAAAAAGCAGGAAUGUAUGAAAUGAUCAAAUGCCACGCAAACACUAUAGAACAAUACAUCCUUGCUUGGUGGUGUUUUAAAAGUCUAUACAAAAAAACCUUCUGGGGAGCCUUAAGUGGAUUUUUUUUUUUACACCAUAAAGUGAUUAUUAAGUUUUCUUUUUACUCUUUGCCUAGCUUUUUAUUAUCUCUUGGACUACAUUUGCCAAUAACACAUAUAAAAGACUGGUAUAACAAUAAGCAGAACACAAAACAUUAUGGUAUUUCUCCUAGUGGGAUGCAAACUAAUGAGAUGUAUUAAAAUAAAAAUGGUAUACCUAUGCAUAAUUUUCUAGACGUUUCUUGGUUUAUGUUCCCCAACCUCCCCCGUAAUUUAAAGCAUUACAUAAAAGAAAAAAAAUGAGAAAAAAAAAGAGAGAUGUGCGUAAACAAAUCAUAGGAUAUCCAUGCAAAAAUCCUUUUUUUUUUUUUUUCUUUAAGACUUAUGCCAGUUGCCUACUAGUGAUAUUGUGUUAGCAAUUGUCAUUCUUAUCAGUAUACAGAUACUUUUAUUUCACAUGUUGGAGCUGUGUGAAAUGUACAAAUUCUUGUAUCUGCAUUGUAUAAUGUCAUGGUGGCAUGGGAACUACCUUGCUGCAAAUAUUUGAACAAAACCUAAAAUUCUUUAUUUUUGGUAAAAUGUUAUGCUUUAUGUGUAUUCAACAGAAAUAUGUGUUUUUGUAAAGGUGAAGUUUGUAUUUUUAUCUAAAAAUUAACAGUUUUAUAUACCUGAGAAAGCCUGCUAUGUUUUCUUGAACCAAAAAAAAAAAAAAAAAAAAAAAAAAAAAAAAAGAAAAAAAAAGCAUUUUGUGGUCAUAUUUUUGUAGUAGAAUAGCCCAAAUAACAUCAAAAUCUAUUUUAACUAUAGCAGGGCAGAUAAAAUACUCUGGCAGCAGCUCCUGUAUUUUCAAAGUGCCAAAGGAUUAAAUGUUCAGUUCCCCACAGAUUGYAGUGGGAGCCACAUGGAUAAAUCCUUCUGUACUGCUUUGGAAAUUUAGGGCUGUGCCAGAUAUGACAUGGCUACUCACUUGGCCAAAAUCACUGCCCCACCCCAGUAGUUUGGAUUAUGUACCCUUUGUUUUAUUUGGAUUAUUACAUUGGAUAUGUAAAAUGAACUACUGGAUUCUUUCAGUUGUGAAACAUCUACAAAGAGAUGAAAGAGUUUUCUUAGUUUGGAACAACAAAARAGUUUGUCUCGAAGACAGUGUUUCCACUCAAAUAAAAAUAUCUUCAAAUGUGAAUGAACUGCAGAACCUUAAAACAACAAAAGAGAGCAAGGUUUUUAACCUUUCCAUUUCUCUAAAUAUAGUUCAGACAUUCCCCUCCUGUUCCUGUAGCUAUGUCCAAAUUCAACCAAACAAAGCAAUGUUAGCUAACAGGCAUUAUUGGCUUCAGAUGCUAAUGCAGAGAUAGAGUUAGUCACCGUUCUAUUUUGUGAUCAUUUUCCCAGUGUAUUUGUUGAGCACCAAAACUGGAAAUACAUUUAACUAAGAUUGUCUGUGCUUGUUUUCCACUAAGUGUACUGUUCACAAUGUUAUGCACAUGAAUGUAUGUGUCUGCGUUUAAAAAAGUGUAUAAAAUGUAAUUUAUAUAUUUAUGUUUCAGUGGGAUGCCAAUAAUGUUGCUCCGUUCCUUUUUUUUUUCCUUU